This 98-nucleotide microRNA precursor is filed under the name Triticum aestivum (bread wheat). RNAcentral's name for it is "miR1121 stem-loop (tae-MIR1121)". The stretch from base 8 to 94 matches the Rfam family "MIR1120/MIR1122 microRNA precursor family". Lineage: Eukaryota; Viridiplantae; Streptophyta; Magnoliopsida; Poales; Poaceae. The record is from miRBase by way of RNAcentral.
UAUAUAUGUACUCCCUCUGUAAAGAAAUAUUAGAGUGUUUAGAUCACUUAAGUAGUGAUCUAAACGCUCUUAUAUUUCUUUACGGAGGGAGUACUGUA